This 254-nucleotide ribosomal RNA is filed under the name uncultured bacterium. RNAcentral's name for it is "partial 16S ribosomal RNA". It matches the Rfam family "Bacterial small subunit ribosomal RNA", at positions 524 to 776 of the family's 1533-position model. The record is from RNAcentral.
GACGUAGGGUGCGAGCGUUGUCCGGAUUUAUUGGGCGUAAAGAGCUCGUAGGCGGCUCGUUGCGUCGACCGUGAAAACCCGCAGCUUAACUGCGGGCUUGCGGUUGAUACGGGCGGGCUAGAGUUCGGUAGGGGAGACUGGAAUUCCUGGUGUAGCGGUGAAAUGCGUAGAUAUCUGGAGGAAUACCGGUGGCGAAGGCGGCAUCCUGGACCGGCAUUGGCGCUGAGUGAGCGAAAGCUAGGGGAGCAAACGGG